AGGAAUCUGGAAGGAGAAGCAGUGAGGAGCAGAAGCAGAUCACACAGGCACCUCCUGCAAGGUGAGAACUGACUGCCUUCCCCAGCCAGCUGCUGACUUUAGCAGCAAGGUGGACCACGAAGAGCCAGGAAGCAGGCAAAGAGCUAGACAGCAGAUGUUUUCUGCGCUCCUGGGGGACAAGGUGACCAACCAAAACUUUGCUCAGAUCCCAGUCUUGCACUUCCUGUGUGACCUUGGGCAGGCUAUUUAACCUCUCUGAGCCUCCUUUCCUCCACUGUCACAUGUAGAAAAUGUACCUAAUAGGGUUGCUGAGAAGGUUAAAUAAAUUAUGUAUCAAGAGCUUGGAACAGCACCCUGCACAUAGUAAAUCCUAUGGGUUUUCUAUCACUGUUAUUAAAACAAUCUUGUGUAACUUUUUAGCAUAAUUGGACAAUGGUGAAUUCUCUUUAAAUUUCUCUCAUCUCUUAUGGAUUCUCCCUACCCUCCUGGUUUUCCUACUCCUCUAUGGGUCUCCUUUUUCUGUCUCCUUUGUAAGCUCCUCUCUCUUGUGUGAGGACAGCAGUUGAAAGGUCACUGCUGGGGCGCCUGGGUGGCUCAGUCGGUUGAGCAUCUGACUUCAGCUCAGGUCAUGAUCUCUCGAGCCCCUUAUUGGGCUCUCUGCUGUCAGGGCAGAGCCUGCACUGUCCCCCCCCCCCCCCCCCCCCCCCCCCCCCCCACCCCGCACCCCAGAUCCUCCGUCCCCCUCUCUCUCUGCCCCUCCCCCACUCAUGCCCUCUCUUUCAAAAAUAAACAAACAUUAAGGGAAAAAAGGGUCACUGCUUGCCAUAUGGGGCCUUCAUGUUAACUAGAAAAAGAAGCCCCUUUCGGUCAUCUUCAGCCUUGAACUUCAGCCCCUGUUUGUUUCCACUCUGCCAUCCGGACAUCCCUUAUGUCGUUCCCAACCUGCCCAAUUGUACAUGAUGACCCUGACUGCCAGUUAAUCAACAUCUGCCCAUUCUCCCCCUUCUGCCUUUCUAAUAGAAGCCCAGUGCGGGGCGCCUGGGUGGCUCAGUGGGUUAAGCGUCCGACUUUGGCUCAAGUCAUGAUCUCACAAUUCGUGAAUUUGAGCCCUGGGUUGGGCUCUGUGCUGACAGCUCAGAGCCUAGAGCCUGGAGCCUGCUUCAGAUUCUGUGUCCCCCUCUCUCUGCCCCCCAUCCCCGCUCAUGUUCUGCUCUCUCUCUCUCUCAAAAAUAAAUAAACAACAAAAAAGAAGUGUUGUUCCCAGUGUUGUUCCCACAUUCACCAGCCUCCAGGCCAAAAUCUCAGCCCCAGACUCAGUUUCAGGUGGCAGGGGAAUCCUGAGGCAUCCAAGUUAAUCAUGGCGGUUCCAUCACUCUGGCCAAUGAUUGGUUCAGAAUGGGCACGUGAGCUAAUUUUAACCAAUGAGAGAGAGGAGGAAGUCUUUGGGGAGAUGCACUUGGAAAAAGAUUUCCUUGCUUCCAAAGGGACAAUAUGGGAGAGAUGCCCCCCUCUUCUUGCACUAAAAGUUAUUGUGUCUGGUUGUGAUGCCCAGACCUGUGGCGGUCACUUUGGGGCCAUGAGAAGAGCCCAAGUGGAGCCAAGUCUUCAGCUGAGGGCUGCUGAACAAGGAGAUUGGGAACCUAGGGCCCCAAGACCCUCCUGGAGCUGUGGAUUGUCUCUUGCCCAGAGCUCUCCCCAACUCUGGUGAUGGGCAAUAGAAAUCAUCUCAUUGUUUCAGCCAGUGCUGGUCAGGAUCUUGUUACCUGCGGCCCAAAGCUCUCACUUUUUUUUUUUUUUUAAUGUUUCAAGUUUUUAUUUAAAUUCUAGUUAGUUAACAUAUAGUGUAAUUUAGUUUCAGGAGUAGAAUUUCGUGAUGCAUCACUUCUAUAUAAUGCCCAGUGCUCAUCCGAAGCGUUUCCUUACUGACAUGAAUAUAUAAAUACCCAAAGGCUGACUUCUCAAGGUGGGUCUUCUCUCUUCCUCCCACCCAUGGCUGCCACACCCACACUCGGGGCCUCGGUUCCCCCAUCUGUCUCCAGCCUCAACCACACCCUGAGGCUCUGCCCAGAGGUUCCUGUGACCUUCUGAUGCCUUCCUCUGGAUGUCCCUUUAGCCCCUCACACCCACCAUGUUCUAAACAAGCGUCAGUGUCUCCCCUCAAACCUGUUGUCUUCUCCCAGGUUCCCAUCUCAGGGGCAGGUAACCAUCCUGGGGCCUUUGCCUGGCCUUGUCCCUCCCAAGUCUGUAAGGCCUACACAAGGCCUGUCCACUUGGCCUCCUGAGCAUGACCUCCACUGCCCGUCUCCCCCUUUCCUCAGCCCUGCCCAGCCCCAUCAUCUCCCGCUCCGUUCCUGUCCCAGCCUCCCCUGUGCACCCGGCCCCAGUCUUCCCCUUCUGGUCCACCUCCACAUAGCAGCUAAAGCCCAAACCUAACCAUAGCCCUCUCCUGCUCAAGAUCCUUCCAUGGCUCUCUAGUACCCUCGAGAAAGACGCCAAGUUCCCAAGCUGGUCAUUUAAGGAUACUUAAGAUGCACGCAGUUCCACCGCUCCUCCUCUCCUUCCCCCGUUCACCCCAUAGUCCAGUUGGAGUAAACCACUUGCCAGAAGCUGAUAUCUGACAUGCUUUCCUCCCUCUAGACACACAUGGUUCCUUCUGCCUGGAAUGCCUCCAAGUGUCCUCUCUUCCUGAAUGCUAUCGAGGUCCAGCUCAAACGCCCUAUCCCUUCUGUAACCUCCAUGGGACUUGGUAGGGGUAACAGUUGAGUAGAAGGGCCUGUGGCGCCAAGAACUAUGACUGAUGUACCAUCUUGGAAGGAGGCAAAUCUGGGGGCAGUAUACAGAAAAUCAGUCCCCUCCCAGCUCUGUGUCUAAGACAAGGGACCUCCACGCCCGGUGCCUCAGUGGAAAAGGAUGAUGACAUCAUCUUCCUCGUGUGUAAAGAACCCUGAACGGAACCUGGCCAAAGAAAGCGUCCCAGCAUAACACGGCAGCCUCUGUGAAGUCAUCUUCGGAGUAACUACUGCGAUCAUUGCCAUUUUACAGAUGAGGAAAACUGAGAAUCACAGAGGGGAAGUGACUGCCCGAGGACAGCGGCACGACACAGCUGAGUUGGGGUCUGAGCCCAAGCAGGCUGGCUCCAGAGCCCAGGGUACUCACGCAGUCAGUGCCCGGGAAACGGGAACAGCUGUUCCGGGGGCGUCCGUGCCAUUCGGAUCCUGUCUCAGCUUCCUGCCUGCCAGGCUGCCGAGGAGGGCUCCCCGGCGCAGGCCCAACCCCCGCGCUCGCCACAUGGGUCUUGCUCCCGAGGGACACUUGAGAUAAAACAAGGUCCACCUUCUUCCCCUGACUACUCCUCAGAUUUCAGGGCCGAGUUGUUAACCCUUCUUCUAGAAAGAUCUCCCUGACCCUGCGGGCUGGAUCGGCCAGAGUCCCCGUGCUUCCUCCAUCCACCUCAGCCCUGCCCGCUCUGCCCGGGCCUUCUCGAACGCGCUGCCGGCCACCCUGCCUCGCCCACCGCAGUCCUGCCUAUUCUGGGUCGUCACUGUGUGGGGACAGGUCUGUCUACCUCGCUGGACUAGGAACCCGUGAGAGGGGGGCCCGGGGCCA
RNAcentral lists this long non-coding RNA (3606 nucleotides) under Lynx pardinus (Iberian lynx). The record is from RNAcentral. Lineage: Eukaryota; Metazoa; Chordata; Mammalia; Carnivora; Felidae.